Molecule: unclassified non-coding RNA, 371 nt
Filed under: soil metagenome
Description: partial contains 5.8S ribosomal RNA, internal transcribed spacer 2, and large subunit ribosomal RNA
Rfam family: 5.8S ribosomal RNA (bases 1-120)
Source: RNAcentral
GAUGAAGAACGCAGCGAAAUGCGAUAAGUAAUGUGAAUUGCAGAAUUCAGUGAAUCAUCGAAUCUUUGAACGCAUCUUGCGCCCCUUGGUAUUCCGAGGAGCAUGCCUGUUUCAGUGUCACGUAAACCCUCACACUUGUGAUGUUACAGUUACAAGCUGUGGAUUUGGACCGUGCCGUAGUCGGCUCGUCCUGAAAUGCAUUAGCUUGCGCUUAUUAGAGUGCUUGGCAUUGGUGUGAUAAUUAUCUGCGCCGUCGCCUUAUGCCUCUUCGGAAGUGCUGCUUCUAAUCGUCCGCAUGGACAACAUAAUUCUUUGGCCUGAAAUCAGGUAGGACUACCCGCUGAACUUAAGCAUAUCAAUAAGCGGAGGGA